RNAcentral lists this transfer RNA (68 nucleotides) under Marmota monax (woodchuck). It matches the Rfam family "tRNA". Rfam says of the family: Transfer RNA (tRNA) molecules are approximately 80 nucleotides in length. Their secondary structure includes four short double-helical elements and three loops (D, anti-codon, and T loops). The record is from Rfam by way of RNAcentral. RNAcentral also lists the same sequence under 1 other name. Lineage: Eukaryota; Metazoa; Chordata; Mammalia; Rodentia; Sciuridae.
GUGGUGGCUCAGAGGCAGAGUGCUUGCCUGGCACGUGUGAGGCCCUGGGUUCAAUUCUCAGCACCACA